This 466-nucleotide ribosomal RNA is filed under the name uncultured bacterium. Its description in RNAcentral is "partial 16S ribosomal RNA". It matches the Rfam family "Bacterial small subunit ribosomal RNA", at positions 28 to 507 of the family's 1533-position model. The record is from RNAcentral.
GAUGAACGCUGGCGGCGUGCUUAACACAUGCAAGUCGAACGGAAAGGCCCAAGCUUGCUUGGGUACUCGAGUGGCGAACGGGUGAGUAACACGUGGGUGAUCUGCCCUGCACUUCGGGAUAAGCCUGGGAAACUGGGUCUAAUACCGGAUAGGACCACAUUUUGGAUGGUGUGGUGGAAAGUUUUUCGGUGUGGGAUGAGCUCGCGGCCUAUCAGCUUGUUGGUGGGGUAAUGGCCUACCAAGGCGUCGACGGGUAGCCGGCAUGAGAGGGUGUACGGCCACAUUGGGACUGAGAUACGGCCCAGACUCCUACGGGAGGCAGCAGUGGGGAAUAUUGCACAAUGGGCGCAAGCCUGAUGCAGCGACGCCGCGUGGGGGAUGACGGCCUUCGGGUUGUAAACUCCUUUCGCUAGGGACGAAGCGUUAUGUGACGGUACCUGGAGAAGAAGCACCGGCUAACUACGUG